UGCAACCUCUCUCUUCCCACUAAGCGUCAUUAUAACGCCUUUGGAACCGCAACGGACGAAACCCCCCUCUUAGAAUAACGCGACGGCCUAGCAACCUGAACUCAUGCGGACCCCUGAUCUUUGCCUAAAAUCACAAGACCUCAUCACCACAUUUCCAGAAGAAAACUUCUGGACCUAACAAACGUUCCCCAAAACAGUCAAAUACACGGCCCAGGUUCCCAAUCAUGAUCAUAGAACCUGAAUGAUACCCAAUCACCCAUGCCAAACUCAUGAUCCCCCGGGCUCAUAGCCACACGGUAAGGCAAACCCUCUCAAGCAAUGAGACUCAGUACGCUUGCUCCGAAGGCAACUGUUCCAGAUCCGAUCCUAUGGUCUUCCAUGAAAAGCAAUUGUGACCCAGUUACCUGGGCCCAGGCCACCACUGCGGCCCAAACCGACCUACUAACCAUAAGCUCCGGGCCAACAUUCAAAUUCAAGCACUUUUUUAUGUGCUGUCCAACAAAGAUUUAUGUGCUUAGAAAGAUCGCAGAAUGAGAAGCAAUGAGUAAAUGACACGCAUGUCUUUUGUUGUUAAAGUUAUACCGUAAUUAGACUUCGCUCCUGGAACGCUUAUACUUGUAGCAUAAUCUUGUUAACAAUAUACGUAUAUAAACUUGAACUCACCGAUAUAAGCUUGCUCCACUUUUGUUUUUGCACCUGUGCGCAACCCAUCUGGAAAAGAAGAGAAAUCAAAAGGAGAAGGGAGCAAAUGAAGAGAAAUGUGGAGGAGAAAAGUCUAGAUCGGUUAAAAAGGAGGGGAGAAGCGGUCACGGGCCUUAACUCCAGGCAACACGUGUGACCCAUGAAUCAAUUCGUCCCCGGCGUAUUGUGUGGCCGAGAACGGCGUUUUGACCCGUUCUGACCUAGCUUCGCCGUUAACGGCGUUUUGCAGGGGUUUCCUGGUUUUUGCUGACCCUACUCGUGAGGAGAGCUUGAUCUUUGAGCUUUUAGAAGUUCUGUUUGGCUUCUCCAAGACCUUGCUAACGGGCACGAUGCUGAAGGAAGUGUGAUAAAGAUUAAUGGGAGGAGGAGAAAUUAAUUGGAUUGCUCCACAAAUCAAGGAGGAAAACAAAGCAAUGGAAGUGGACCCUGACCAUGUCGCUGUCCCUGCCACUGUUGCUGCCACAGCUCCUCCUGCUGCACCACAAGUUGAUGAAGAAAACAAGGAUGAAGGCAGCGAGGGUCAAGAGUUUGUUCGUAAGGGGAAAAAAUCUUAUAUUUGGCAACAUUUUACUGGGCUUCCAUUGACUGAGACUAAGGGACAACACAAGGCUAAAUGUAAUCAUUGUUGUAAAAUAUAUAGUUGUCAUCCAACUAAACAUGGCACAAAUUCUCUAAAUAAGCACUUGAAAGCUUAUCAUAAGUGGAUAUUUACAAAAGUAAGGAAAAAGGGACACUUCAUGGUUAUAUGCCUAAAAUUGAUGAAGAAGGGGAAGCUGACAAAGUCUUAAAGGGUAUAGCUUGGAAGAUUGUAAGAAAUCGGUUGCUGAAUUUCUUAUACUUGAUGAAAUGUCAUUUAAUGAAAAUUAUGAAAUCAGGAAAGGGAUUCAAGAUAACUCCUCUUCGAAAGCACGGCUUGAGGGAUAUUUGCCAACUUACACGUGUACUUAUCGAGUUAUUAAACAGUCUGGAGUCCUUGAAAUGCCGGGUUUGAUGUACAUUAACACACCUGCUGUUGUAACAACUGCAGUAGGUCAAAUGGCAAUUUCUAAGGGACGAAGGAAGGGAAGCACAACAUUAAAGUCUUGGGAUCAUCCCUUUUCUUUUUUCCCAGGUUUAUUUGGCAAAUAUGUGUCUUAAAGGAGUUGAUACUGAUGCACUAGUCACUGCAUAUGAGCUCGUUGUUAUAAACCCAUUUAGUGAAAGCGCAGGCACAGUUGGCGCCAGGAUGGCUGUUUCGGCUGAACAAGCUGGAUGUAUCCCCAUGGACGAUGUAUUCAGACUAGCUGUAACAAGCUUCAAGGUUUAUGACUGGCGUCUUUUUGGUGCAGCAAGUUGAGACUCCUCUAUUAUCUAGAGUAUUAUCUGGAGUGGGACUUCAGCCAUUAGUUUGAAAAUAGUAGUUGCUGCUAUUCACAAUUUAGAUCAUUGUGUAUAUUCCUUAUAGGGUUUGCUUCUAUUAUGCCAGAACUACUUUAGUUGUUUUUCUUUUGGUAUUUAGUUAUAUUCUAUCUUGUUAUCAUGAACUUGAUGGGAUGGAUUGCAGGUAACUAGUACCUGGAGAGAAUAAUAUUUUGGUUAGAAAUGUCAGUGACUUUUUCAGUUUUUGGAUGUGAUAGAUUCUGAUGUACUCUUUUUUUAAUUCUCAAGGUUCAUAAUUCACUCUUUUUUAAGUG
Arachis ipaensis is the source of this 2375-nucleotide non-coding RNA. The record is from RefSeq and is a predicted model, not a curated record. Lineage: Eukaryota; Viridiplantae; Streptophyta; Magnoliopsida; Fabales; Fabaceae.